UGUUCCGGUCUCUGCGCGCGCACAUCACCAGAUUGGGAGCCGCCGGUGCCGCUGCUGGGGUUCUCCGUCUGCUCGGGCGCGCGGGUCACGUCGGUCGCCCAGGGAGCUUCACCAGGGCACGGUGUUGCAGGGUCGGACAUCAAUCGCGACGUCCCUAGCUCCCCGCCGGUGUCGGGGAUUGAACAUGUGCCGCUGCGAGCGAAUCAGUUGGCCGCUGUCAGGAAUCUUCAACCGCUUCAACGAUUUGGUGGUGCUCGGUGGUCGGGAAGCUUCUCUGGCUCACCCCUCACAUGUGUGUGGCCUUAUUGGACAAAGAUAGCCUUCCGAGCUCGACCAAUUGCUCAUCGGUGCAAUGGCUCCACCGCGGGCGGGACCACUGCUGCAGACCCAUUUCACUCCCUUGCCAUCACCGGUAAUAUGCAUGUCCUUGUGUUCGUCAUGUCCCUUAUUACAUAUCGCACACCGUGGAUUAGGAUUUAGGGCUUGUUUGUGUAGCUUCGCCGACCUCUGGCCAUCUCUCCGCCAUGGAGGAUUGCUACGCCGCCGUGUGGUGUAUUGGGUCGGUGUGAUGAUUUUUGGGCCGUCGGAUCGGAAAUAUGCGAUCAGGAUCGACUCAAGCAUAGCGACUCAGCCAAAACCAUGGGGGCUCGUCCGAUCAGAAUCUAUGGGUCACGAUUAGAUCCCAGGCCAUGACAUCUAGCCCGUCGAUUUAACCACCUGCGGCUCCGAUUAGAUACUGGUUAGAUCUGCUCGUGGCCGUCCGAAUCUAAUCUGACGGCCCAGGCAGCCCCGUACCCCUUCGCGGAUGCAUCUUGCUAAAGAGCCCCAGGGUUUCACCGAAAUGAACCCGCCGUCCACCUCGGGUCAUGGCUGUGUCGGUAGAUUUUAUAGAAUAAACCCCGACCUUUUCUGUAUUAGUGCGCCCAGUCUAGGAAUUAAAGAAAAUAGGAAAAAGAGAGUUAGAAAUUGAUUUUGAGUAUAAAAAUAAUUAUAAAACUUGUAUAAUUCAUAGAAAAUUCAUAUUAAGUCCAAAUUAGUCCAUUCCAGUUCCUAUAAUUUUGUAAUAAUAUUGUUUAUCAGUUAGUGCCACUGUUUUUACAUGAAAUCUACAUUAAAAUUUAUAUCCUAAUUAAUCUUGUACAAAACACAUAGAAUCUUUGGAAAUCCAUAACUUAAAAUCUAUAACUCCAAAAUUAAUAAUUCAUGUUCCUGUGAUCUUAUAUCAAUAGGUAGAUUAUUAAUAUGUAUUUUACAUAUAUGUUUGGUGUGAUGUUAAUUUUGCCUAUACACUGUUUGUUUGUAUUGCUACGACUAGCGUGAGGUCACGAGUCACCUGAAGAUCAUCCUGGUACCUGGAAUCUCAAGUCCCAGGCAAGUUGUGCCCUUGAUCACUUCGUUUACCCACUCAUGUUCUAAUAAAUCAUAAUGAUCUACAUAGGUUAAUUUUGAUGGGACCUAAUAGGUUACCUUAGUUUGUCUAUCUUUAUGCCUUGUUUACCUCUAAACUUUUUGGGUAGUGCUUGCUAGUGAUAUAUGUGGUUUUGGGCAUUGAGAUAAACAUUAUUCAUGAUUAUACUUUGUUAUCAGUUGUUAUUUACUGUUCAUGAUAAGAUUAUUAUGUUAAUUGGAACAUGGAGCGACCACCCGAGAAAACAGUGCUACCACAAGGGUUUAAUGGGACGCCCUUGGCUGAUUAAUUAGGAAAGCUAGUGGAAGACUACCUCACCUGAAAGGGGCAAGGGCAGUAGGGGAGUGGUCAGUGUGGGGAGGUCCUUGGUUGAUUUUGCUGCGAUGGCGGUCAGGCGAGGGAUCCCUGCAUUGGAGCUUCCUAUAAACUGUAGCGGCUUUUCUAAAGCUAGUGGAACUUUGUAAAGGCCUCGUAGUGUUACCCUGCCUCGCUUCCUUUGUAGAGGUGUAUGGGGCCCGUACAACCCCGUGGCAAAUGGGUAACAUGACUUGUGGGUAAAGAUGCGCAACCUCUGCAGAGUGUAAAACUGGUAUACUAGCCAUGCUCACGGUCAUGAGCAGCUCGGACCCUCACAUGAUUAAUUUAUGGAACUUAAAUUCAAUUUGUCAUAUGCAUUGCAUCGCAGGUGAUGUUGUUACUUCUGUUCUACUACUUAAUUGGGUUGGUAUUUACUUAUACUUAGUAAUUGCUAAUAAAAUUUUGACCAACUUUAAAAGCAAUGCUCAGCUUCAACCAUCUCCGUUGGUAAGCUUACACUUCACAUGAGCUCCCAUCUUUGGCGAGUUCAUGCACAUUAUUCCCCACAACUUGUUGAGCAAUGAACGUAUGUGAGCUCACUCUUGCUGUCUCACACCCCCACAGGUCAAGAACAGGUACCACAGGAUGAGGCGCAUGGAGGAUGCUGCGAUAUGUUCGUGAGAGGUCUAGGCCGUCGUCUCCCAGUCAACUUUGGGUUGCUGGACCGUUGUCUCCUUAUAAUGUAAUUAUUUAUUUUGUAUAUAACUCCUAUUAUAUAGUAAAGAUGUGACAUUCGAUCCUGUGCCAU
This 2513-nucleotide long non-coding RNA is filed under the name Zea mays. Its description in RNAcentral is "long non-coding RNA (ZMAY_LNC003161)". The record is from RNAcentral. Lineage: Eukaryota; Viridiplantae; Streptophyta; Magnoliopsida; Poales; Poaceae.